AUUGAACGCUGGCGGCAGGCCUAACACAUGCAAGUCGAACGGUAACAGGAAGAAGCUUGCUUCUUUGCUGACGAGUGGCGGACGGGUGAGUAAUGUCUGGGAAACUGCCUGAUGGAGGGGGAUAACUACUGGAAACGGUAGCUAAUACCGCAUAACGUCGCAAGACCAAAGAGGGGGACCUUCGGGCCUCUUGCCCUCGGAUGUGCCCAGAUGGGAUUAGCUAGUAGGUGGGGUAACGGCUCACCUAGGCGACGAUCCCUAGCUGGUCUGAGAGGAUGACCAGCCACACUGGAACUGAGACACGGUCCAGACUCCUACGGGAGGCAGCAGUGGGGAAUAUUGCACAAUGGGCGCAAGCCUGAUGCAGCCAUGCCGCGUGUAUGAAGAAGGCCUUCGGGUUGUAAAGUACUUUCAGCGGGGAGGAAGGGAGUAAAGUUAAUACCUGUGCUCAUUGACGUUACCCGCAGAAGAAGCACCGGCUAACUCCGU
Molecule: ribosomal RNA, 489 nt
Filed under: uncultured bacterium
Lineage: Bacteria
Description: partial 16S ribosomal RNA
Rfam family: Bacterial small subunit ribosomal RNA
Source: RNAcentral